AAUCAACGCUGGCGGCGUGCCUAACACAUGCAAGUCGAACGGCAGCACGGGGGCAACCCUGGUGGCGAGUGGCGAACGGGUGAGUAAUACAUCGGAACGUGCCCCGUAGCGGGGGACAACCAGUCGAAAGACUGGCUAAUACCGCAUACGCUCCACGGAGGAAAGCAGGGGAUCGCAAGACCUUGCACUAUGGGAGCGGCCGAUGCCCGAUUAGCUAGUUGGUGAGGAAAGGCUCACCAAGGCAACGAUCGGUAGCUGGUCUGAGAGGACGACCAGCCACACUGGGACUGAGACACGGCCCAGACUCCUACGGGAGGCAGCAGU
RNAcentral lists this ribosomal RNA (324 nucleotides) under uncultured bacterium. RNAcentral's name for it is "bacterial SSU rRNA". It matches the Rfam family "Bacterial small subunit ribosomal RNA", at positions 29 to 355 of the family's 1533-position model. The record is from RNAcentral.